RNAcentral lists this long non-coding RNA (500 nucleotides) under Mytilus galloprovincialis (Mediterranean mussel). Lineage: Eukaryota; Metazoa; Mollusca; Bivalvia; Mytilida; Mytilidae. The record is from RNAcentral.
UAUACACAUAACAUAAAACGCUAAGCUAGCUUUCAUUGAUGAAUACUGUUAAAAGAAAGUGUAAUUCUUGGUUAAUUGCGCUAAGUCGGCUGGAACUAAAACGAACAUACGAAACGGUAUCAUUUUUUAACGAACAUCUUAAAACUUUCUUAAGUGUUUCAUCUUCUUAAACAUUAUGUGUGUCCUAUUUUAUUAAAUGAAUCAUUAAUUGACGCAUUCCGAAAGGAAACGGGAGAAAUAUUGGGUGUGCUUUUUUUCUCACGAUCAAACAAUACACUUGCUAUGGCAAAAAUUAGAGAGAGCUAUCCGAGAUUGAUUUUUUACCAGUCAAAUUGCGAUGAUGUGUUAUUUUUUCAUCCAGACAAAGAGACAUCUUCAGAUGAUGACGAGCGACUUUAGAAUACUUUAAUCUGGAUUUUAAUACAGUGCGCAGACGACAGUUGUCAAGUAGUUGCUAAGAAUGGAAGUUGCGUCGUAAGAAUAUCACAAAGAAAUACAUG